AGUGUAGGCGGGAUCGUAAGUUAGGAGUUUAAUGCAUGGGCUUAACCCAUGACCUGCUUUUAAUACUGCGGUUCUUGAGUAUGGGAGAGGGCGAUGGAAUUCCAGGUGUAGCGGUGGAACGCGUAGAUAUCUGGAAGAACACCAGUAGCGAAGGCGGUCGCCUGGCCCAAUACUGACGCUGAUGCUCGAAAGCUAGGGGAGCAAACAGGAUUAGAUACCCUGGUAGUCCUAGCCGUAAACGAUGGACACUAGUUGCUGGAGGAGUCAAUCCUUUCAGUGACGAAGCUAACGCAUUAAGUGUCCCGCCUGGGGAGUACGCUCGCAAGGGUGAA
RNAcentral lists this ribosomal RNA (332 nucleotides) under uncultured bacterium. RNAcentral describes it as "bacterial SSU rRNA". It matches the Rfam family "Bacterial small subunit ribosomal RNA", at positions 568 to 898 of the family's 1533-position model. The record is from RNAcentral.